AUGAGCGCGCCCGCCACCGGCCAGCCGCCGGUCGACGCUGGCGGCGGCCGCAUCGGGUUGGGCAGGGAGCUGGGGCACCCGCCGAGGGACGGCGUCUCCAGCCUCCGCUUCUCGAAGCACAGCAACCGCCUCCUCGUCUCCUCAUGGGAGAAGGCGGUGCGGCUCCUGGACGUCGAUGCCACCAACGCGCUGGUGGGCGCGUUCGCGCACAAGACGCCCGUGCUGGACUGCUGCUUCCACGAUAACGACUCCUCGGCGUUCAGCGCCUCGAGCGACCACGUCGUGCGGAGGCUGUCCUUUAGUGCCAAAAGUAGUUAUCGCUUGGGAACCCACGAUGGUCCAGUUCGCUGUGUGGAGUACUCCUAUACCACAGGUCAAGUAAUCACUGGAAGCUGGGAUAGGACUAUAAAGUGUUGGGAUCAAAGAGGUGCGACUGGGCCAGAAUAUACACUUAUUGGGACACACACCCAACCUGAACGUGUAUACGCACUUUCAUUAGCAGGACAUAAGUUGGUUGUUGCAACAGCAGGAGAGCAUGUGAAUGUUUAUGAUUUGCGCAAUAUGUCUGAGCCUCAGCAAAGGAAGUCUUAUCUGAAUUCUCAAACACGCUGUGUUGAGUGUUACCCAAAUAAAACUGGAUUUGCUUUGGGUAGUACAGACGGACGAGUUGCAAUGGACUUCUUUGACCAAUCUGAGUCUAGUCUCGAAAAGAGGUAUGGUUUCAAGUGCCAUCGAUUGACCGAGGGCAGAGUGAGGGUUGCAUAUCCUGUUAAUGCAAUUGCAUUCCACUCAGUGCACGGAACGUUUGCCACGGGCGGAUGUGAUGGAUUUGUGUGCACUUGGGAUGGAGAAAACAAAAAGAGAUUGUUUCAGUCCCCCAGGUACCCAACCAGCAUUGCUGCUCUGUCUUUCAGCAAGGAUAACAAUCUGCUCGCUGUUGCAUCCAGUUACACUUACGAAAGGGGAAAAAUAGAGAAUGAACCUGGUACUAAGAUCUUUAUCCGCGAUGUCAACGAAGUGGAAGUAAAGCCGAGGCACUGA
RNAcentral lists this ribosomal RNA (1041 nucleotides) under Triticum aestivum (bread wheat). Its description in RNAcentral is "partial small subunit ribosomal RNA". Lineage: Eukaryota; Viridiplantae; Streptophyta; Magnoliopsida; Poales; Poaceae. The record is from RNAcentral.